UUCUCUACAGGAGUCGCCUAGGGCUCCGAUUUGGCGAGUUUGUAGUGAUCUCUGCAUGCGUGUGUUGUGUUUGCUCUCACACUUCUCUGCUGUCCUUUGUCAUGCAUUUGCUGUUAAAUAUGUUUCUCCUCGCAUGUUCCUCUUCUCCAUUGCCUAAGCUGGUUGUGUUCGUCUAGAGAAGAACGUGUUACAGAAAACAAACAAAAAAAAAAAAGAAAAAAAGAAAAAAACGGGACCUAGGUAGUUUGAAUAGUUUAAAUAAGUUUAGAAUCAUCGAUUUACAUACUCGAUUGCCGAAAACAACGCAAGCAAUCGACCUAGUUUGCUUCUAAAAAUAUUCAAAUUUUACUGCACAUAUACAUAUAUAUAAUUCUUCAAUUUUACUAUAUAAUAUAAAAUAUAAUAAAAAUAUUAUUAUUAUUGUACCUAGGAUUUCGAUGUCGUGUUAUCACGUGCUCUGCAAGUC
RNAcentral lists this long non-coding RNA (466 nucleotides) under Ananas comosus (pineapple). Its description in RNAcentral is "long non-coding RNA (ACOM_LNC002681)". Lineage: Eukaryota; Viridiplantae; Streptophyta; Magnoliopsida; Poales; Bromeliaceae. The record is from RNAcentral.